UCCCUUGUGGCUCAGCUGGUAAAGAAUCUGCCUGCAAUGCAGGAGAUCUGGGUUCGAUCCCUGGAUUGGGAA
This 72-nucleotide transfer RNA is filed under the name Capra hircus (goat). It matches the Rfam family "tRNA". From Rfam's summary of the family: Transfer RNA (tRNA) molecules are approximately 80 nucleotides in length. Their secondary structure includes four short double-helical elements and three loops (D, anti-codon, and T loops). Further hydrogen bonds mediate the characteristic L-shaped molecular structure. tRNAs have two regions of fundamental functional importance: the anti-codon, which is responsible for specific mRNA codon recognition, and the 3' end, to which the tRNAs corresponding amino acid is attached (by aminoacyl-tRNA synthetases). tRNAs cope with the degeneracy of the genetic code in two manners: having more than one tRNA (with a specific anti-codon) for a particular amino acid; and 'wobble' base-pairing, i.e. permitting non-standard base-pairing at the 3rd anti-codon position. RNAcentral also lists the same sequence under 1 other name. Lineage: Eukaryota; Metazoa; Chordata; Mammalia; Artiodactyla; Bovidae. The record is from Rfam by way of RNAcentral.